This is a long non-coding RNA of Pseudophryne corroboree (corroboree frog), 1777 nucleotides long. RefSeq lists it as uncharacterized. The record is from RefSeq and is a predicted model, not a curated record. Lineage: Eukaryota; Metazoa; Chordata; Amphibia; Anura; Myobatrachidae. The transcript has 3 exons.
UAAGAUCGAUACAAAAGGUUUCCCUCGCCCUACAUAAAUGGGAGCGCUCUCCUAUCCUCUGCUGCAAAUCAAUGGAUGUCUGCAGUCAGAAGGAGAGUCUGACACCGCUGCUCCGAAGAGCUGACCAUCUACAGCCCAGCAGGUCCUGUUUAAUGCUUCCAGUUUGAACUCCUGCAGAUCCCUCAUAAACAUUGUGUUCGUUAAAAGGCCACAGAAGAAGGAAUAAAGUGCGCUGGUUCCCCCUGUAACCUUGAGGAAUAAUUGCCAAUAUUUAGUGCUUUUAUAAAAAGCAAUCAAUCUUCCAUGGAUUUUCCCCCAGUAAUUGUACGGCUGCAACGUGGCCUUUCCUGAUGUGGUAAACCUACAAGUACCAAUGUUCCCUUGGUGACAAGGAUUGCUGCAACUUGUAGUUCCACAGCAGCAGGCGAGCCACAGAUUUGUCACCACCAGUAUUGGCUCGUGUCACUGGAUGCCUGUCUGCCAUUUCAUCUUGGAUGUCAUCUCGCCACCUCAAACUCAACAUUUCCAAAACCGAAUUAAUUAUUUUCCCACCAGCUAAGAGUAGUUACCAACCUGAUAUCUCUCUAACUGUUGACAAUGCAACUAUCCACCAUACCCCACAAGCUCGUUGCCUAGGUGUCACCCUUGACUCUGAACUGUCCUUUGUUCCACACAUUCAAUCUGUCUCUAAAUCAUGUUACAUGCACCUUAAAAACAUAUCCAAAAUACGUCCUUAUCUUACACAAGACACUGCAAAAACUCUAAUCCAUGCACUCAUCAUCUCCCGCAUUGAUUAUUGUAAUAGUCUCUUUACUGGUCUUCCCAAACAUAGGCUCUCACCACUUCAAUCCAUUUUAAAUGCAGCUGCGAGGCUAAUCUUCCUCGCCAGACGUUCUUCAUCUGCUGAUCCGCUCUGUCAGUCCCUCCAUUGGUUACCGGUAUUCUACCGUGUCAAAUAUAAAAUACGUUUACUUACAUACAAGGCUAUUAACCAAACUGCACCAUCAUACAUCUCCUCACUCAUCUCAAAAUAUCUCCCUACCAGACCCCUCCGCUCUGCACAAGAUCUGCGUCUCUCAUCCAGAUGUAUUACCUGUUCCCACUCAAAAUUACAGGACUUUACCCGGGCUUCACCCACUCUGUGGAAUGCCCUUCCACGCACAAUAAGACUCUCCUCUAGUCUCCAAACCUUUAAACGUUCUCUGAAAACUCAUCUCUUCAGACAAGCCUACCAAAUUUCAGACCCACACACAUAACCUUCACAGCUUCCCUAUCAAGUUACAUCCUCUCUGUACAGUCCACAUAACCUCACAUUUUGUCUUCCAACAUUGCUGGGUGAUCAUAUCAUAUACAACCCAUUAAGAACCUAGCAACCUGGGGAACCAUGAUGUAACAGGUAGCAUCUAUCCUUGUGUAUCAAUGCCUAUUUCCCUAUAGAUUGUAAACUUGCGAGCAGGGCCUUCCUACCUCUGUCUGUCUGUCUGUCUGUCUUUGGCCAGUUUUGUUCUAUAAUUGUUGUUCUAAUUGUAAAGCGCAACGGAAUAUGCUGCGCUAUAUAAGAAACUGCUAAUAAAUAAUAAAUAAUAAUAAAGUGAUGGAUUCACCUGUGCACAAGCAGAAACACCUGUAAAUCCAUUCAAGCCGGUUCUAUUGCACAUUGGUUCUCUAGAAAAAAAAAAAUCAACGCUCCUAGGUGCAACACACCACUGAGAGGUUAAAAAUAAAUUCAAAAUAAUUUAUAAGGUCAGAUCAAAGAUGUCACCCUAAAGGGUUUGCG